RNAcentral lists this long non-coding RNA (396 nucleotides) under Monodelphis domestica (gray short-tailed opossum). Its description in RNAcentral is "lncRNA (ENSMODG00000046001.1)". Lineage: Eukaryota; Metazoa; Chordata; Mammalia; Didelphimorphia; Didelphidae. The record is from RNAcentral.
CAGCCACCUCUGACUUUGUGAGCUCAGGAUCACACAGCUAGAUUUGAACUCAGGGAAGAAUUUCUACACAUGCAGCAGAGUUUCCUUAACCCUGCAACCUCAUGAUGAAAAAAUUCACAACUCGCAAGAACCCUGCCUACCUCAACGACAGACUGGAUUUGGAGAAAUUAUAGGUUGCGAGAAUGUUAACUUCAGGUCCAAGUUUUCUCUCUUUUUUAAGGGCAGCAUUUAAAGUUCCCUUCUGAGACUCCAAACACAAACCUUUAAGAAGGGAAGUAAAGCAACUAAGGACCUCUGGAACUAGUUGCUCAGAUCAGCAUCAAGUUCCUCAGUAUUCAACUUGAAUUAAGUGCAGCCAUCAAUAAAACUAUAGAAAUGGGAAGGUUGCUGUUAUAA